Molecule: long non-coding RNA, 2384 nt
Organism: Cynocephalus volans (Philippine flying lemur)
Lineage: Eukaryota; Metazoa; Chordata; Mammalia; Dermoptera; Cynocephalidae
Exons: 3
Source: RefSeq, a predicted model, not a curated record
CCAGGGACGGAUGUGAGGGGCCCUGCAGGGAGUGGGCAGGGACAGCUCGGUCUUUCUCCAAAUCCGGGCGUGCCUCUCGCCGCUCUCCGCCACCGUCCCCUGCGCAGGUGUGGAAGUCGAGGCAUCGGAGAAGUUAAUCAUUGGUUUCCCCAGGAUCUGCUGAGUGCACAGAACAAUUGCCAGGCAGGUGUCUAGAAGGCUGUUUUCACCGACUGACAUAAACCGAGAGGCCUGCAAAAAAAUCAACCUGAAGAUAUUAAUGGCUUAAUCAUCAAAACAGAUCGGCCUGAUCUCAACUCAGGCCUGACUGACCAGUGUCUCAGAGACAUCAGUGGUGACCUGAUCCCUUAGGAACAGCGAGGUUCGAGCUUUGGGUGAGCGACUUUCAAGAGUGUCUUAGGCCCAUCACGUGAUUGUGGCGAGUGAAAUCAGCAGGACUUGUGCUGGUGGUGGUGUAGUGCUCUGUUCUGGAGCAUGGAGAGGCCAGAGGUCCGUUUAGGAAACGUGCCCGUCUACCUGCCCCUCAUCGGACGUGUUUGGUCGACAGCUGCUCCCGGUUGCUUCCCCGAGCCCUAGGUCUGUGAGAGUUCAGCGCCUCUCCUACUGAUAGUGGGUACAGAAGAGGACAGAGAGAAUAAGUAAGUAAAGCGUCAGUAGCACCAAGUCUUCUGUAAGUAUCAUCUACACAUUGGGUCCUGAAUAGCUGUGUAUUCCUAAGACUCCUAGUCAUUAUAAGGGCUUGCCAGGACUGUGAAAAGUCACAUUUUACCCUCCUUUCAGGCUAACAGGUUAGCCUACCGCAGUCCCCUGUGUGCCAGAGACACCCACGAGUCCUGCGUCAGAGACAAAGGAGUUAAUUCCUCACAGCAGUUGCAGUAGCCAGAGUCAGCAUGUGCACCAGUUCGCCAAGUCCCGGUUCCCACGGGGUGACACAAAGUGGGCCAGGUGAUGGCCCCACAUGCAGUGGGUUGUGUUACGGAAGAGGAACCUGGAGCUUAAGGAACACAAAUCAUCUAUAAGGGGCUGUAAGCCUGCUGACCUCCACCCAGAGAGAGGCAGGGAGACGCUUUUUACCGGGCAGUAAAUAAGCCCACGUUUGCCCCAGAAGAGGCGCUGUUUCUGUCUUCCAAGGCUUUUGGCUACACAGACAUCCCUGACAAGGUACACUCUGGACUUUACUGGGUUUACAAAGACAGGCUUGAAUGAUUCUGUCCUCAUUUGGUUCCUCUUCUGUGUCCUUCAGAGAUUGUACAGAUGUGCUCUUCUCUCAGAGGCCACUCGUUACUCACACAUAAGCUGUGCUUUUGGUUUUAUAUGUUAAGUUGAAAUUUUCUUAUCGGAGCAAGUGAUGAAACUAUGGAUUCAGUGGAUUGAAUCUGACAGUAUUAUGUGUUUCCAGGAAAAGUAUGAAAGAAAAUUAAUGUUUACAGAACUUUAGCACAAGGAGCUGAAAGCAACUUAAAUGAUUUUAGUGUGAAUACAGCUUUGCACAACCUUCCUCCAUCUUCCUUAACAAUCGACCUGCUUCCUCUAUGUCUCAGAGGCGAAUGGGGGUAGUUUCAGGGAUUCACUGGACUUGUUUACAGUAUUCAAGUGACCUUAUCUGGUGUGUUUUAAGGUGCAGAAGAAUCAGCGAUGACCUCAUACAUUGCUAAUUACCAGAUUCAGGAGCAUCAGCCAAAAGCAGCACUUGAGCCCCGUAGCAGAUCCGCAGAGCCCAGCGCUGUGGAGCAGAGAGCUGGGGGGGCAGGGCGGUGGUGAGGUGUCCUGCUUUGCUCAGAGGCCUUGAUCAGCUGUGCAGGCUUCAGUAAGGCUGACCCACGCAGAUCUGAACUGCAGGGCUCUGGCUUGCUCCUUGUUUUUAAUACUGAAAGUGGUUAUGUGAUGGAUAUAAGUGUGUGUUUUCUUUCUUUUUUUGGAACAGAAUUAAUAAGCCUCAUAAUUUCAUAGCAACCUGUUGCUGCGCUCAGCCAAGGACAGUGGUGGCAAAGCUCGUUUGUGCAUGGGCACUGGUUUUGUGCUUGCAGAGAAGAUCUGUGUCCUGUAGCACAGCGGCAGGGUGCAGUUUUCCUUUUAUGUCUUGCUGUUGGUACACUAUGACGUUUAGGGGCAGUGUUACUGCUGCACAUUGCAGGGCAUGUAACACACAUUUCCCCUUUUUGUUCUUGCUUGGGCUCAAUGUGUAGUAAUAUUAUCUUAAUGGUAUAAUUAUCCUUGCUGAUAGGGAAAUUUUAUUGCCAAGUACUUGUUUUUAAUGGAAGGAAAAUGAUCAGAGCUUCAAAAUAUGCUUCUUGAAAACAAACUACUUAUUUUUCUUGUUCUGCUCCCCCAAACCAUGUUAGUGCACUUGAAGUUACAAUAUCAUUUAAAAACAAAGCAGUACU